Molecule: ribosomal RNA, 254 nt
Filed under: uncultured bacterium
Lineage: Bacteria
Description: partial 16S ribosomal RNA
Rfam family: Bacterial small subunit ribosomal RNA
Source: RNAcentral
UACGAAAGGGGCUAGCGUUGUUCGGAAUUACUGGGCGUAAAGCGCAUGUAGGCGGCUUGCCAAGUUAGGGGUGAAAUCCCGGAGCUCAACUCCGGAACUGCCUCUAAAACUGGUAUGGCUAGAGGAUGUGAGAGGAUAGUGGAAUUCCGAGUGUAGAGGUGAAAUUCGUAGAUAUUCGGAAGAACACCAGUGGCGAAGGCGACUGUCUGGCACAUUUCUGACGCUGAGAUGCGAAAGCGUGGGGAGCGAACAGG